Molecule: transfer RNA, 76 nt
Filed under: Alphaproteobacteria bacterium
Lineage: Bacteria; Pseudomonadati; Pseudomonadota; Alphaproteobacteria
Description: tRNA-Arg
Rfam family: tRNA
About the family: Transfer RNA (tRNA) molecules are approximately 80 nucleotides in length. Their secondary structure includes four short double-helical elements and three loops (D, anti-codon, and T loops).
Source: RNAcentral
GGUCCCAUAGUUGAACUGGACACAACGGGGGAUUCCUAAUCCCCAGGUCGAGGUUCGAGUCCUCGUGGGAUCACCA